AUCAAGAUUAGAUUGCAAAUGCACCCUAUUGCACUCGAGCAUCCUCGAAACAUCUUUGCCGGAAUCAUAAGCCCUUAUGAAGUGAUCUUCAAUGUCUUUUAAAGCCUCCAAAAGCUCUCUCCCUCUCACCGGUGUGUCGAUAACCGUAAGACCUUUCUGCUGUGGCUGCGCCGCCCGGUGCACGUUAGCAUUCUCCACCGCGGCCCGGCCCACGUUUGCAUUCUCCACC
This 229-nucleotide long non-coding RNA is filed under the name Erythranthe guttata (spotted monkey flower). RNAcentral's name for it is "long non-coding RNA (EGUT_LNC003128)". The record is from RNAcentral. Lineage: Eukaryota; Viridiplantae; Streptophyta; Magnoliopsida; Lamiales; Phrymaceae.